GAUGAACGCUGGCGGCGUGCUUAACACAUGCAAGUCGAACGGAAAGGCCCUGCUUUUGUGCGGUGCUCGAUUGGCGAACGGGUGAGUAACACGUGUGUAACCUGCCCUUGACUUUCGGAUAACUUCAGGAAACUGGGGCUAAUACCGGAUAGGAUCUCCUGCACCAUGGUGGGGGUUGGAAAGUUUCGGCUGUUGGGGAUGGACUCGCGGCUUAACAGCUUGUUGGUGGGGUAGUGGCUUACCAAGUCUUUGACGGGUAGGCGGCCUGAGAGGGUGGCCGGGCACAAGGGGACUGAGGUACGGCGCAGACUGGUACGGGAGGCAGCAGUGGGGAACAUUACACAAUGGGCGCAAGCGUGAGACGAAAGCGUUGCGUGCGUGAAGACGGCUUGUGGGGUGUAAACAGCUGUCGCCUGAGACGAAGCGGUAGUGACGGUAAUGAGUAAAGAAGCACCGGCUAACUACGUG
Molecule: ribosomal RNA, 468 nt
Filed under: uncultured bacterium
Lineage: Bacteria
Description: partial 16S ribosomal RNA
Rfam family: Bacterial small subunit ribosomal RNA
Source: RNAcentral